This 521-nucleotide long non-coding RNA is filed under the name Elaeis guineensis (African oil palm). RNAcentral's name for it is "long non-coding RNA (EGUI_LNC056424)". Lineage: Eukaryota; Viridiplantae; Streptophyta; Magnoliopsida; Arecales; Arecaceae. The record is from RNAcentral.
UCGGAGAAGCUGGAGUCGAGGGGAAUGCGGCCGCCGUCGGGACCUGCAAGGGAAGUCUAAAUCAAAGUUGGGGGUGCUCCGGCAAGACCCUCUGAUGCUCAAGUCAGUACUCUACUUCAACAGAAAUGGAGCACUCGAAUGGGAUUUUGGCAAAGUUUCAAGAUAGAGUUUAGAGCUUAGAGAAGAACAUAUCUGGGGGGUCUCUUUUAUAGAUGGGAGAGCAUAAUUGAUUGAUAGCGACGUCCAUAACUGCCUGGUAGUGGGCCGUUCGGGGUCACGCAGAGUUUGUUACAGAGAGUAGUGGUGUCAGUGGGCCGUUCGGGGCCAUGUGGAGUUUGUUACGGAGAGUGGAAUGGUGUCUGUUGUCGCGACUUGCAGGUCGGACGGCUGAAGCUCGGUUGGAAUGUCUGAUGGAGUGGAAUAGCUCUCUGCCUCAGCAAUCUAAGAGAAGCUCGGAUGUUUCUGAGGUUGCUGAUGGGUUAACUAUGGUUGGGUGCUAUUGGUGUUGCAGACGGAAGUCA